AGGGAAAAAUUGACGAAGCUGACGGAGCACGCCGCGUGAGUGAUGAAGGUUUUCGGAUCGUAAAACUCUGUUGUUAGGGAAGACAAGUACCGUUCGAAUAGGGCGGUACCUUGACGGUACCUAACCAGAAAGCCACGGCUAACUACGUGCCAGCAGCCGCGGUAAUAAA
Molecule: ribosomal RNA, 169 nt
Filed under: Bacillus licheniformis
Lineage: Bacteria; Bacillati; Bacillota; Bacilli; Caryophanales; Bacillaceae
Description: partial 16S ribosomal RNA
Rfam family: Bacterial small subunit ribosomal RNA
Source: RNAcentral